CCAGGGCUGCCAGCAUCACACGGAGGGCCCUCGGUGUGAGCAGUGCCAGCCAGGAUACUACGGGGACGCCCAGCGGGGGACACCACAGGACUGCCAGCUGUGCCCCUGCUACGGAGACCCUGCUGCCGGCCAGGCUGCCCACACUUGUUUUCUGGACACAGACGGCCACCCCACCUGUGAUGCGUGCUCCCCAGGCCACAGUGGGCGUCACUGUGAGAGGUGCGCCCCUGGCUACUAUGGCAACCCCAGCCAGGGCCAGCCAUGCCAGAGAGACAGCCAGGUGCCAGGGCCCAUAGGCUGCAACUGUGACCCCCAAGGCAGCGUCAGCAGCCAGUGUGAUGCUGCUGGUCAGUGCCAGUGCAAGGCCCAGGUGGAAGGCCUCACUUGCAGCCACUGCCGGCCCCACCACUUCCACCUGAGUGCCAGCAACCCAGACGGCUGCCUGCCCUGCUUCUGUAUGGGCAUCACCCAGCAGUGCGCCAGCUCUGCCUACAC
This 495-nucleotide long non-coding RNA is filed under the name Homo sapiens (human). RNAcentral's name for it is "HSALNT0002889". Lineage: Eukaryota; Metazoa; Chordata; Mammalia; Primates; Hominidae. The record is from RNAcentral.